Long non-coding RNA from Gallus gallus (chicken), 3077 nucleotides. RefSeq lists it as uncharacterized. Lineage: Eukaryota; Metazoa; Chordata; Aves; Galliformes; Phasianidae. The record is from RefSeq and is a predicted model, not a curated record. The transcript has 2 exons.
ACCUAGCAGUGAAGAGAAGGCAAUGUGAAUAAAGCUGCUGGUUCUUCCCUAGCUUACCACUAUGCCUGAUUUAAUUCCCAUUUGUUGCAGUUUCUUAACAAUGAGAGUUUCUCUGAAAAUCCAGGACUUUCACCCACAAAACCUGAAUCAGUGCAGCCCAGCUUAAAGUUCAUUGCUUCUAUCUACAUAUCCAUCCACAGAUGAUGAGAAACGUGUCCAUCAAAGCACCACUCUUCCUAUAUGUUAUGCAUACAGGAUGUAUGUUAUACAUAUAUAUACUAUACACUCUUGUUUGGAGGGUUACAGAAUGAAACAGGACAUAUUUUGAACACCUAUUAUUUACUUUCCUUUCCCUUUUCUAAAGCUAAAGAGCGGCCAACUGGAAGUGGCUAUCUGUCAGUGGGCAAGAUAUCCAGGCUGGAAUGUCACGACAGAGUAAUGUGAGUGAAGCACUCCCAUGUAUGCCAGCUGGGUAAGAGAUGAGAGCAGUGGGACCUGCACCUAAAGCAGCAUUCUCACACACUGCUCAGAUUACUCCUUGCUACAGUCAUUGCAGUUAUGUACAAAGUAUGUAUGAGUGGAGGAGGAAAGCAACAGGAUACUCAUGUCAAAUCUCUGUGAACUCUCACUGCAGCACUGCUGAAUGUGUGCUGAUACCGUUAUCCACACACAGGAGCAAAAAUGCAUCUCUAAUGAGGAAUAGUUUUAGUCUGGAAGCAGACAGGGCUGGGUGACCACUUCAUCUGUGUCCAUUUUUUAAAUGGGUGCAGAAUAGCUGACAUUAUUAAAAUCCUUCACGUUCUUCACAUUUCUCCUUUCAUCCUAGGCUUGGCUUGACAGCUUUGCUCCAGAAGACAGCAAAAGUCCAGAUGGAACUACACACCAGUAAAGGUUUAAAAUGUCUCAUUAAGAAUCUUUGUAUAUAGUUUUGUAAAGCUGGUUUAACUCAGUAGAGGAGCAAUCUGACUUCACUGAUAACUGAAUCCAGGAGAAUGGCUAAUGCCAGUGGUACAGUUUAACAGGAGGUAGAUACUGCAAGCGUUACACGGUGCCCCAAGAGCAAAGCUGUGUCACUAAUGUGACAAUGUUUGAUGUUUUAUUUAAAACUGGUGUCUCAGCUCAGCUCUGCUAUAUUAAGGAGAAAGCGAUCAAAAAUACCACCCCAUAAUCUGACCUGAUUCAAAAAACUAUAUAAAUAAAUCUGCCACUCUUUUUAAACAGGAUGGAUUACAUUUUGGCAGAAACCUGAAUGAGAACAGAAAGAUGAAAGUAACUCACUAACCUAAUAACUGCACCAGAUUGGGGUGCUUGAUUUCCUUCAUCACAGCAGCUUCUUUCAAGAACUCUUCCACCUCCAUGGUAUCUUCCUAGACAAACACAGAAGAGAAGAUUUAUCCUCACGACCGAGGUCUGCUCAACGCCACGUAUUCUAGCUGAAUGGUAUCCUUACCUCCAUUCUGACAUUUUGGCUUUUACUAAAGCAAAAAUGUCAUAACACCCCUGAAAAGCUGGCCUGCAGCACAGCCAAAUAACAGAUGUGCAGCCCCUGGAGAGCCCUAGGUUCUACCACCAAGCUUCCACAGCUUUUCUGAGGGAAGGGAAGUAGCAGUGGUAACCAUGCCUACAGAGCUGGCUUGGACAUGCAGUUCCUGCAGGAGCCCAUUGGGCCAAAAUCCCAAGUUGUUUCUAAGCUACCUGCACUGCUGCAAACUCACCAAGCUGUCUUUCUUCUGCAAAGCUACUGUCAAAGCAUGGACUUUAUACAGAUCAGCACUCUCCAUUUUCAGAUAGUCGUAUCAAUAUGUGGUAUAACUGAGGAAGUUACAACUUCCUUCUACUUAUCGUCAGUGCUGACCACAUUAACAGCACGCAACAAUCUGAAAACCCACCUUUAAUGUUUUCACAGCAACGGUGAGGUUGUAUUUCUUCCAGACACCAACAUACACCUCGCCAUACUGCCCUCCCCCGAGUUUGUGCUUCAUGGUAAUGUCAGUCCGCUCCAUCUCCCACUUGUCGUGGAUGGGGGACACUCCAUACACAGUGGGCUUAUUGCACUUGGGUGCUGGGUAAUGCAGAGUCGUCACCAGUCCAUCUGCUACUGUGGAGUGAUGGUGCACCAGUUCUGCUAGCGUGCUGAAACGGCUUUCUGCUGUCACGUACACCUGUCAGGAACGAACCAGGAAUCUGCUUAGGUAAAGGCUGCUGAGAGCUUUCAGUUAUGCUGGAAAAUGGGUACAGUAAAAACAUCCCAACAGCUUUGGAAAAAAGAAAUAACAGAACCAGAUGUUAGAGUACUGGUUCUCAGUUGGGUUGAGCAAAUGAACGCUCCUCUGUGCAAUUUUCACUUGCAGAAGGCAGCUAGAUAGAUUUCCCUUUCCCGCAGCAUUGUGCAGAAAUCCUUACCUUUCCAUCUGAGGUGGUGUUGAUCCUGUAGUGGUAAACACGUCCCUCGUACCUGAGCGAGAUGGACAGCUGCCCUGGGCUGCUCUCACUCUCACGAACCAGGAAGCUGCCAUUGAUGAGGCUGCUCAACAGAUACUCUGCUGCGCUGCGUGACACCGGCCCGUGAUACCACGAGUGCUUCUCCAGGCUGUUGACUGGUGUGAUGUAGUUGCUUGGUACCCAGCCCUGCCCAUUCUUCGAACGUACCUCACUCCAUUCACCAUUCUGGUUGUAACCCAGGACUCGCAACUUCUCACCUACGACCCAGGAGGAAAAAAAGCCGAGUAAGCACAAUAUGAUCUACUGGGUCUCACUAACAGAGACAUUCACUCCCAGCUGACUAAGCUUUGUUUCGUAGCUAAACAAUAAAAAUCUUGCAGCAGUGACUUAAUGAAACUGGUAUACGUAAAGUAUUUAUGAGUAAAGUUUCAGCCAGAACACUUGACUAAUUUAUUGCAGUGUAAACGAUGAGCUCGCAAAGCUUCUUGCAGUCCAUAUUUCAGACUAGAAAAGUGUUUUUUCUUGGAAGAAUGAGGUUUGUCUCCAUCCUGAAGCCUUAAAUGGCAUUUGGUUUUUUAACAAUUGUGCAAAAGGGCAUAUUCUGAUAUACUUAUUAAACAGAAAUUCCUCUGUGA